CUACGGGACGCUCCAGUAAAGAAUCUUCCACAAUGGGCGAAAGCCUGAUGGAGCGACACCGCGUGCAGGAUGACGGUCUUCGGAUUGUAAACUGCUUUUCUGGGGGAAUAAUUAUGAAGGUACCCUAGGAAUAAGCACCGGCUAAUCACGUGCCAGCAGCCGCGGUAAUACGUGAGGUGCAAACGUUACCCGGAAUCAUUGGGCGUAAAGCGUCCGCAGGCGGCGCAGUAAGUUAGAUGUUAAAUCUUGAGGCUCAACUUCAAGUUCGUAUCUGAAACUGCUGUGCUAGAGAAUCGGAGAGGUGAAUGGAAUUCUAUAUGUAGGGGUAAAAUCCGUAGAUAUAUAGAGGAACACCAAAAGCGAAGGCAGUUCACUGGCCGAUUUCUGACGCUCAUGGACGAAAGCGUGGGGAGCAAACGGGAUUAGAUACCCUAGUAGUC
This 440-nucleotide ribosomal RNA is filed under the name uncultured bacterium. RNAcentral's name for it is "partial 16S ribosomal RNA". It matches the Rfam family "Bacterial small subunit ribosomal RNA", at positions 339 to 795 of the family's 1533-position model. The record is from RNAcentral.